Molecule: ribosomal RNA, 363 nt
Filed under: uncultured bacterium
Lineage: Bacteria
Description: bacterial SSU rRNA
Rfam family: Bacterial small subunit ribosomal RNA
Source: RNAcentral
AACGAACGCUGGCGGCGUGGAUAAGACAUGCAAGUCGAACGAUCACUAUUGGGUAGCAAUAUUCGGUAGUGGGAGUGGCGCAAGGGUGCGUAACACGUGGGUAAUUUGCCGUAAAGUCUGGGAUAACUUGCUGAAAGGCGAGCUAAUACCGGAUGUGAUUGCUGGAGGGCAUCCUCUGGCACUUAAAGUCGGGGACCGCAAGGCCUGACACUUUUCGAUAAGCCCGCGGCCUAUCAGCUAGUUGGUGAGGUAACGGCUCACCAAGGCUAAGACGGGUAGCUGGUCUGAGAGGACGACCAGCCUCACUGGAACUGAGACACGGUCCAGACACCUACGGGUGGCAGCAGUCGAGAAUUUUUCUUC